Molecule: non-coding RNA, 1251 nt
Organism: Musa acuminata subsp. malaccensis (wild Malaysian banana)
Lineage: Eukaryota; Viridiplantae; Streptophyta; Magnoliopsida; Zingiberales; Musaceae
Source: RefSeq, a predicted model, not a curated record
GUGAAAUUAUUGGGUUCAUUCGUUCAUACCAAGCCACAUCAGUCACUCGAUCGAGCGGUCGGCAUGAUCUUGAAGCCUUCUCGAUCGUGAAUCCAGUCGCCGACUCGGAAAAGUGGGAGGGAGAUGGCGACUGCGGAGGCGAAGGCGGUGAUCCCGGAGUCGGCUCUGAAGAAGAGGAAGAGGGAGGAGCAGUGGGCUCUGGUGAAGAAACAGGACCUCGACGCCAAGAAGAAGAAGGCCAGGGAGAACCGAAAACUAAUCUUCAGUAGAGCCAAGCAGUAUGCUAAGGAGUAACGAAUCCCAGGAAAAACAGCUGAUUCGUUUGAAGAGAGAGGCCAGGAUGAAGGGUGGGGACGACUGUAGCCCUAAAGCCAAGCUUCUCUUCAUCAUCUGCAUUCGAGGGUGGGCGACACCUUUUCUCUACCCUUUUAAUAUAUAUAUAGUCUAUUAUGUCAUAAAUUGAUUUUCUUUGUUAUUUUGGUAAUUAACAUGUCAUUUCUCUGUUUGCACUUGAUCCAUCAACGCCAUGCACCCAAGAACACGAAAGAUCUUGCCACUCCUUCGUCUCAGACAGAUACUCAAUGGUGUAUUUUUGGAAGUUAACUAGGCCAUGAUGAACAUGUUGCGUCGGGUUGAACCUCAUGUUACAUAGGGAUUGGUGCAGUUGGAAGUGAUACUCUUAAACAUUGAGUGGAUAUAGCAACCUGAUUGAAAGCUCGUGUCGACAGUCCAAGUUAGACCCUUUUGUAGUCUCUUUUCCAACAAUGGUUAUAUACUAGAAUACAUGCUCUUAGACCUAAGUCGAAGGCCAAGACCGCAGCAAUCUGCAAGUCUACCACGGCUUUAAAUGUGAAUAAGAGAAACACGGAAUCUAGCGGCAAAGAGCCCCUGCCUCCCAUCCCAUUAUCCACGUCUUCCGAAGCAGCAGGUAUACAAACGCGCAAGAUCUGAAUGCUGUCAUCGUCACAGAAGUGGAGCCUGUUGUUGGAGCACUGGCAAUUAGGGACGAGGUUGAUAAGAAGAAGAGCACUGGCAAUUCAUUGUCACUUAACCUGAAAAAAUGCUCAGGUGGAUAAGCAGAAGAUUGAUGCAAGGAACUAAGAGCUUGAAAAGACUAUAAUGUAUCUAUCUAUCAGGUGGGGAUAGAGAGUGCAAUUCCACAAAUUGUAAAUCUUAAUCUCGUUCUUUGUACAUUGCUAUAUGCAUGCAACCAACCCUAAUUGCCGAGUAACUUUGCGGUGUGCUGCCUGA